GACGAACGCUGGCGGCGUGCUUAACACAUGCAAGUCGAACGGAAAGGCCCUGCUUGCAGGGUGCUCGAGUGGCGAACGGGUGAGUAACACGUGGGUGAUCUGCCCCUUACUUUGGGAUAAGCCUGGGAAACUGGGUCUAAUACUGGAUAGGACCAUGCUGUAGGUGGUGUGGUGGAAAGAUUAGUUUCGGUAAGGGAUGAGCUCGCGGCCUAUCAGCUUGUUGGUGGGGUAAUGGCCUACCAAGGCGUCGACGGGUAGCCGGCCUGAGAGGGUGGACGGCAACAUUCGGACUGAGACACGGCCCAGACUCCUGCGGGAGGCAGCAGUGGGGAAUAGUGCACAAUGGGCGCAAGCCUGAUGCAGCGACGCCGCGUGGGGGAUGACGGCCUUCGGGUUGUAAACUCCUUUCAGCCAUGACGAAGCCCUUGUGGUGACGGUAGUGGUAGAAGAAGCACCGGCUAACUACGUG
Molecule: ribosomal RNA, 469 nt
Filed under: uncultured bacterium
Lineage: Bacteria
Description: partial 16S ribosomal RNA
Rfam family: Bacterial small subunit ribosomal RNA
Source: RNAcentral